GGACUACCGGGGUUUCUAAUCCUGUUUGCUCCCCACGCUCUCGCGCCUCAGCGUCAGUCUCCGUCCAGGCGGUCGCCUUCGCCACCGGUGUUCCUCCCAAUAUCUACGAAUUUCACCUCUACACUGGGAAUUCCACCACCCUCUCCGGGACUCUAGUUGAGUAGUUUCGGAUGCACUUCCAAGGUUGAGCCCUGGGCUUUCACAUUCGACUUACCCAACCGCCUACGCGCCCUUUACGCCCAAUGAUUCCGAACAACGCUUGCACCCUCUGUCUUACCGCGGCUGCUGGCAC
RNAcentral lists this ribosomal RNA (292 nucleotides) under uncultured bacterium. RNAcentral describes it as "partial 16S ribosomal RNA". The record is from RNAcentral.